GGGCCCGUAGCUCAGCGGUAGAGCGGCCGGCUCAUAACCGGUAGGUUGCUGGUUCGACACCAGCCGGGCCCACCA
This 75-nucleotide transfer RNA is filed under the name Planctomyces sp. Its description in RNAcentral is "tRNA-Met". It matches the Rfam family "tRNA". From Rfam's summary of the family: Transfer RNA (tRNA) molecules are approximately 80 nucleotides in length. Their secondary structure includes four short double-helical elements and three loops (D, anti-codon, and T loops). Further hydrogen bonds mediate the characteristic L-shaped molecular structure. tRNAs have two regions of fundamental functional importance: the anti-codon, which is responsible for specific mRNA codon recognition, and the 3' end, to which the tRNAs corresponding amino acid is attached (by aminoacyl-tRNA synthetases). tRNAs cope with the degeneracy of the genetic code in two manners: having more than one tRNA (with a specific anti-codon) for a particular amino acid; and 'wobble' base-pairing, i.e. permitting non-standard base-pairing at the 3rd anti-codon position. Lineage: Bacteria; Pseudomonadati; Planctomycetota; Planctomycetia; Planctomycetales; Planctomycetaceae. The record is from RNAcentral. RNAcentral also lists the same sequence under 2 other names.